Molecule: long non-coding RNA, 1103 nt
Filed under: Mytilus galloprovincialis (Mediterranean mussel)
Lineage: Eukaryota; Metazoa; Mollusca; Bivalvia; Mytilida; Mytilidae
Source: RNAcentral
UUGAAAUUUAAUAACAUAAUAGAUAAAAUUAAAAAUGGUUCGGGACAUUUACCAAUUUCUUCUUGAGUAAAUGUUAACCGUUUCCUAUCAAAACCUAAUGAUCACUUAUACACCUUAACAUAGGUAAAAAAUUCGGUGUCAAGUGCCUGUGACAUAUUCUUACAUUUAUAUAGCAAUAGCUAUGAUCAUAAUACUGGUUGAUAAAAGUAACUUGUUAUAGCAGACACAAGAGUAAGUCAAUAUAAACGUGUAUCUCAACACAGCAAUAAUAAGCGACUCACUUCACACAGUAAUAUAUAAAGGCAACAGUAGCAUACCGUUGUUCGAAACUCAUAAAUACCUGUGUACAAAAUAUAUAAUACAACUUAAAUAAAAUCUAUAUUCAUAUAAAACGUCUAGCAUUUUGUAAUUGGGUUCAAUAUUUCAUAAUGAUUUUUCAGGUCAAUAAGUUGCAUUAUCAAAUGGAAGAAGCCAUUUCACGACCUACUCAUAUGCCUUUUUCUCAUCUUAAUUUGAGGUAUACUUUUUUCUCUUUCCUUUUAAAUUUAGCGGCCCUUUUAUAACUGUAGAUUUUUGUACAUCUCUAUCCUUUAAUCCUGAUCUUCAUUUGAGAUUUAUUUCGCUAUCAAUAUUUGUGCACUUUUUGGCUAAGCCAAUUUUGUGAUAUCUCCUAAAGAAAUUGAUGGUUCGAACAACUAGUUUAAUCUCCGUUAAAAGCUCAUGCGAGUCCGAGCUCAUUUCACUUUUUUUAUUUUUGGUUCGACGCUGCUUCAUUGCAAAGAUCCAAAAUCUUUUUUUAUAUUAUGUUAACAUCGCUUUAUCAUUCAGAACACUCAAACAUACUACAGCAUUGAUUCCGUCACAAUCAUGAACAAAAUACGCCUAUUUCAUUCAUAAGAUAUUAUGAAUAGGUAUUAUUUAUGAAUGAGUUUACUCAAGUCAUUGUAAUUAUAUAACAACGUGACAUAUAACAUACUCCACCCUUGCAACCACAAUAAUAAGGAUAAAUAUUUCAAAUAAGUUUCCAAUGUCCUGGCCUUAUUAACAUGAAACCAUACUAGGUCAAUCAUCUAUAUAUUUUAAAUCUAAAUAUAGAAAACAAC